This 1410-nucleotide ribosomal RNA is filed under the name Klebsiella variicola. Its description in RNAcentral is "bacterial SSU rRNA". It matches the Rfam family "Bacterial small subunit ribosomal RNA". The record is from RNAcentral. Lineage: Bacteria; Pseudomonadati; Pseudomonadota; Gammaproteobacteria; Enterobacterales; Enterobacteriaceae.
UGCAAGUCGAGCGGUAGCACAGAGAGCUUGCUCUCGGGUGACGAGCGGCGGACGGGUGAGUAAUGUCUGGGAAACUGCCUGAUGGAGGGGGAUAACUACUGGAAACGGUAGCUAAUACCGCAUAAUGUCGCAAGACCAAAGUGGGGGACCUUCGGGCCUCAUGCCAUCAGAUGUGCCCAGAUGGGAUUAGCUAGUAGGUGGGGUAACGGCUCACCUAGGCGACGAUCCCUAGCUGGUCUGAGAGGAUGACCAGCCACACUGGAACUGAGACACGGUCCAGACUCCUACGGGAGGCAGCAGUGGGGAAUAUUGCACAAUGGGCGCAAGCCUGAUGCAGCCAUGCCGCGUGUGUGAAGAAGGCCUUCGGGUUGUAAAGCACUUUCAGCGGGGAGGAAGGCGUUAAGGUUAAUAACCUUGGCGAUUGACGUUACCCGCAGAAGAAGCACCGGCUAACUCCGUGCCAGCAGCCGCGGUAAUACGGAGGGUGCAAGCGUUAAUCGGAAUUACUGGGCGUAAAGCGCACGCAGGCGGUCUGUCAAGUCGGAUGUGAAAUCCCCGGGCUCAACCUGGGAACUGCAUUCGAAACUGGCAGGCUAGAGUCUUGUAGAGGGGGGUAGAAUUCCAGGUGUAGCGGUGAAAUGCGUAGAGAUCUGGAGGAAUACCGGUGGCGAAGGCGGCCCCCUGGACAAAGACUGACGCUCAGGUGCGAAAGCGUGGGGAGCAAACAGGAUUAGAUACCCUGGUAGUCCACGCCGUAAACGAUGUCGAUUUGGAGGUUGUGCCCUUGAGGCGUGGCUUCCGGAGCUAACGCGUUAAAUCGACCGCCUGGGGAGUACGGCCGCAAGGUUAAAACUCAAAUGAAUUGACGGGGGCCCGCACAAGCGGUGGAGCAUGUGGUUUAAUUCGAUGCAACGCGAAGAACCUUACCUGGUCUUGACAUCCACAGAACUUUCCAGAGAUGGAUUGGUGCCUUCGGGAACUGUGAGACAGGUGCUGCAUGGCUGUCGUCAGCUCGUGUUGUGAAAUGUUGGGUUAAGUCCCGCAACGAGCGCAACCCUUAUCCUUUGUUGCCAGCGGUUAGGCCGGGAACUCAAAGGAGACUGCCAGUGAUAAACUGGAGGAAGGUGGGGAUGACGUCAAGUCAUCAUGGCCCUUACGACCAGGGCUACACACGUGCUACAAUGGCAUAUACAAAGAGAAGCGACCUCGCGAGAGCAAGCGGACCUCAUAAAGUAUGUCGUAGUCCGGAUUGGAGUCUGCAACUCGACUCCAUGAAGUCGGAAUCGCUAGUAAUCGUAGAUCAGAAUGCUACGGUGAAUACGUUCCCGGGCCUUGUACACACCGCCCGUCACACCAUGGGAGUGGGUUGCAAAAGAAGUAGGUAGCUUAACCUUCGGGAGGGCGCUUACC